GCCCCCACAGGGACAGGGGGGGACCGACGGACUCCUAGGCCCGCCCCAAGAUUUUCCUGGAGGAGGCUCCGCUCCUCUCGACUUGCCUCCUGCUGGGACAGACAAGGACCUGCUGGCCUGCGGAGGAAGAUACAGUGUUUUCAGCUCUUCUGUUGAAAUGGCCAUGUCUAAGCACAUCUCUUCCUUUACAGCAGGUGGAUCUAUGUACUUCUACUGCUCUCUGUUUUCCUCCUCUAGAUGCUCUCUGGUCAUUCAAGUGCCUCUCAAUGACUGGCUUCAUGCUUUGAGCUGGAUGAAAUUGCUCAAUAUUUCUGAAGUUCAAAUAAAUAUAUAAUAAAUAUCAUCUUAA
Molecule: long non-coding RNA, 349 nt
Organism: Melospiza melodia melodia
Lineage: Eukaryota; Metazoa; Chordata; Aves; Passeriformes; Passerellidae
Exons: 2
Source: RefSeq, a predicted model, not a curated record